UAGUCUGGUGCCAGCAGCCGCGGUAAUUCCAGCUCCAAUAGCGUAUAUUAAAGUUGUUGCAGUUAAAACGCUCGUAGUCGGAUUUCGGGGCAGGUUUGCCGGUCUGCCGAUGGGUAUGCACUGGUAGAACUGUCCUUCCUUCCGGAGACGGCGCCUACUCUUAACUGAGCGGGUGUCGGAGACGGAUCGUUUACUUUGAAAAAAUCAGAGUGUUUCAAGCGGGCAGCUCGCUUUUGCAUGGAUUAGCAUGGGAUAAUGAAAUAGGACUUUGGUGCUAUUUUGUUGGUUUCGAACACCGAAGUAAUGAUUAACAGGGACAGUCAGGGGCACUCGUAUUCCGCCGAGAGAGGUGAAAUUCUUAGACCAGCGGAAGACGAACCACUGCGAAAGCAUUUGCCAGGGAUGUUUUCACUGAUCAAGAACGAAAGUUAGGGGAUCGAAGACGAUCAGAUACCGUCGUAGUCUUAACCAUAAACCAUGCCGACUAGGGAUUGGAGGAUGUUCCUAUGUGACUCCUUCAGCACCUUUCGGGAAACUAAAGUCUUUGGGUUCCGGGGGGAGUAUGGUCGCAAGGCUGAAACUUAAAGGAAUUGACGGAAGGGCACCACCAGGAGUGGAGCCUGCGGCUUAAUUUGACUCAACACGGGGAAACUUACCAGGUCCAGACAUUGUGAGGAUUGACAGAUUGAGAGCUCUUUCUUGAUUCGAUGGGUGGUGGUGCAUGGCCGUUCUU
This 733-nucleotide ribosomal RNA is filed under the name uncultured eukaryote. RNAcentral's name for it is "SSU rRNA". It matches the Rfam family "Eukaryotic small subunit ribosomal RNA", at positions 557 to 1295 of the family's 1831-position model. The record is from RNAcentral.